RNAcentral lists this ribosomal RNA (588 nucleotides) under Rhodotorula kratochvilovae. RNAcentral describes it as "eukaryotic LSU rRNA". It matches the Rfam family "Eukaryotic large subunit ribosomal RNA", at positions 38 to 635 of the family's 3401-position model. Lineage: Eukaryota; Fungi; Basidiomycota; Microbotryomycetes; Sporidiobolales; Sporidiobolaceae. The record is from RNAcentral.
GCAUAUCAAUAAGCGGAGGAAAAGAAACUAACAAGGAUUCCCCUAGUAGCGGCGAGCGAAGCGGGAAGAGCUCAAAUUUAUAAUCUGGCACCUUCGGUGUCCGAGUUGUAAUCUCUAGAAGUGUUUUCCGCGUUGGACCGCACACAAGUCUGUUGGAAUACAGCGGCACAGUGGUGAUACCCCCGUACACGGUGCGGACGCCCAGCGCUUUGUGAUACACUUUCAAUGAGUCGAGUUGUUUGGGAAUGCAGCUCAAAUUGGGUGGUAAAUUCCAUCUAAAGCUAAAUAUUGGCGAGAGACCGAUAGCGAACAAGUACCGUGAGGGAAAGAUGAAAAGCACUUUGGAAAGAGAGUUAACAGUACGUGAAAUUGUUGGAAGGGAAACGCUUGAAGUCAGACUUGCUUGCCGGAGCUUGCUUCGGUUUGCAGGCCAGCAUCAGUUUUCCGGGGUGGAUAAUGGUGGUUUGAAGGUAGCAGCCUCGGCUGUGUUAUAGCUUUCCACUGGAUACAUCCUGGGGGACUGAGGAACGCAGCGUGCUUUUUGCGAAGGUUUCGACCUUUUCACGCUUAGGAAUGCCUUUGGGUUCC